Molecule: long non-coding RNA, 1197 nt
Organism: Leopardus geoffroyi (Geoffroy's cat)
Lineage: Eukaryota; Metazoa; Chordata; Mammalia; Carnivora; Felidae
Exons: 3
Source: RefSeq, a predicted model, not a curated record
CCUUUCUGUAACAAGUGACACAGACUUACCUCCUCACUGAAACUCUCUUCUGAGACCGAUUUCCUUAGGAGGCUGUUGUGAAUCUUCUAGGAUUCCAGUUCUUUCUGUUGAGUAUUCUCCUCUGUCAUCCCAAUGUCGGUAGGCCUAUGGUUUACCCCCUCCCCGUAGUUAUCAUUUGUGAAUGGACAAUUUCCAAACCUCUAUCUUUUGCUACAACUUUGUCCUGAACUUCGGAAUGGCAUUUGUAAUGACAUAGUGUAUGUUUCUGACUGCAUAUCUUUUAGAUAUCUCCAACUUAGCAAGCACUGUAGGCUUAAAUACCACCACACCACAACAGGGAGAUAUUACUAAACUACAUUUUGCAAGGAAAGUAGUAAUAAUGAUGGUGACUGAUUUUAAAAGAAAAUAAGCAAAUGUGAAAUCUACAUGCUAAGCUAUUUCAGCGAGGCAGAAUUUUUUCAUAUACAGGAUGGAUACUGAUUAUUAUAACCAGUGUCUUCAGGGAUAGGCAAUUCUUUCAGAUUAUCUCUCUCACUGAAAAUGCCAUUCAAGAAUAUCACCUCUGUGUUUUUAUUUUAAUCUCUGUAGGCAACUUUCUUGAUCUAUAAUUAAAUUGAACAACAGGCAUAUGUCUUACUGUGACUGGGAUGUAGCCAUGGUAUAUUCAUAAACUGGUGUUCUGGUUGGUAAAUGAUUCUCUUGUCAGUUUUCUUGGUGUGAGUCAGUGCUCCAGAGUUGGUGAACUCUAGGUGAACUGUUGAGAUCAAGUUUCUGUAUCUGCAAAACUGAAGAUCAGACUUUGGACUGUGGCAACUGAAAAUAGACUGAAUCUGAGAGGUGAAGCCCAGCUAAAAAGAGAGCUCAUCAUCACCCACUAAUGGGUCAAAAUCUACAGUUUGAAGAGUCCUGCAAUGUGAAAGGAAUGUUCAAGCAGGAGUGAGAAUCCUGAGUUCCUUGUUGCUCCACUUUUGAAUGGAAACCUGUACUCUCACCAUCAAACCAAGGUGAUAGGAUUAAAUCAGAUCAUCUCCACGGCCUCUGUUUCAGUGGAUUGAGGAUUUCCCACCUUGAUACUGGUGAUUUUUCCUCAUCAGGAUUCUGUGACGGAGCACCUGUCUCAGCAGACGACCAGAAAACUCAACACGGGCCCAUUGUGCACUUACCUUCUCUGCCAAGGAAAAAAAAAGGUAAUGGUUU